This 417-nucleotide ribosomal RNA is filed under the name uncultured bacterium. RNAcentral describes it as "bacterial SSU rRNA". It matches the Rfam family "Bacterial small subunit ribosomal RNA", at positions 355 to 772 of the family's 1533-position model. The record is from RNAcentral.
UGAGGAAUAUUGCACAAUGGGCGCAAGCCUGAUGCAGCGACGCCGCGUGUGGGAUGAAGGGGCUACGCCUCGUAAACCACUGUAGCCCGGGACGAAAAACGCCUUAGAGGCGUUAGACGGUACCGGGAAAGUGAGGGUCGGCUAACUACGUGCCAGCAGCCGCGGUAAUACGUAGGACCCAAGCGUUGUCCGGAUUUACUGGGUGUAAAGGGUGCGCAGGCGGAUGGGUAAGUCAGGGGUGAAAGUCUGCAGCUUAACUGUAGAAUUGCCUUUGAUACUGCUCAUCUGGAGUGUGGGAGAGGUUGAUGGAAUUCCAGGUGUAGCAGUGAAAUGCGUAGAUGUCUGGAAGAACACCAGUGGCGAAGGCGGUGAACUGGCCCAUAACUGACGCUCAUGCACGAAAGCGUGGGGAGCAAA